Molecule: ribosomal RNA, 253 nt
Filed under: uncultured bacterium
Lineage: Bacteria
Description: partial 16S ribosomal RNA
Rfam family: Bacterial small subunit ribosomal RNA
Source: RNAcentral
UACGGGGGGGGCAAGCGUUGUCCGGAUUUAUUGGGCGUAAAGAGCGUGUAGGCGGCUAGGUAGGUCCGUUGUGAAAACUCGAGGCUCAACCUCGAGACGCCGGUGGAAACCAUCUAGCUAGAGUCCGGAAGAGGAGAGUGGAAUUCCUGGUGUAGCGGUGAAAUGCGCAGAUAUCAGGAAGAACACCCGUGGCGAAGGCGGCUCUCUGGGACGGUACUGACGCUGAGACGCGAAAGCGUGGGGAGCAAACGGG